Molecule: long non-coding RNA, 4367 nt
Filed under: Xyrichtys novacula (pearly razorfish)
Lineage: Eukaryota; Metazoa; Chordata; Actinopteri; Labriformes; Labridae
Source: RNAcentral
GCUUUCCUUUCGUUCAGUCAUGGAUUAUCUGUCGAGACAGGGCUGCUCUCUGUGCUUUUUGAAUAUAAAAUGUGGUGAAUGACAUUGAAUUAAAAGACACUUUUAGGGUUUAAUAGACCAAAACUUCAAUUAUAUCUGUAAAUGGCUGGCUUUGAAAAACAAAAACAUAGACGCUGCCUCAUUAUAUGAAAUACUUCUACUCAGUUUGAAAAGUUUGAGAUGUUCUUGUUCUGAAAAAUCAAUAAUUGGCACUUGAUCGCCUGUUGUGUAAAUUACAUGAGUUAAGUACAUCAACACAGCAUGCUCUAUCUACAAUAGACUGAUGCAAACCCUGUUGCAUUUUCUCAUUUAAAAUGGAUGAAGAUCUAAGCGCUCAACUAGACGGCAAUUCUUGUUAUCGCCUGAGGGAUGAGGAGAAGAAAAAAGAAAGGGAGAAAGGUGAGCAAAAACAACAGGGGGAGGCAAAACCGAAAAUUAAACUGUGCAACAUGAGGAGUGGGGAACAGUCAAAGAGUUUUCAUCGCCCACUCUCACCUUCCCUUUCCCCUGUGUUUUAUUUUUGUUCUCAUCUUCGCUGUAUCCAUGAUGCAACGGAGGGCAAUGGCUGCUUUACUCCGACGUUCAUUGAGUCAUUAUCAGAGAUUAAAAAAGCAUUGAUAAGAGAAGGUGGCUAUCCUCUCUUGUUUAGUGUUUUUUCCGUCUUCGCUCUCUCUCUCUCUCUCUCUCUGAUUCUACCUUUGCGGUGUUGGGGUCCAGCUCUGUGGGAUCAAAGAUGUAAUGUUGCAUUAAAGGUACGUCAUAUGUUGACUCAUGUUUUGCAAUCCCAGAAACGCUCGCGCCGCUGGCUCAGAGACAGGCAGUUGCUUCACGGAGUCAAAUGUUUGAAGAUUUUGUCUGUUAAAUCCUAAAUCCCUCCAGUUUGAAGUGGUGCACGAGCAGCUGAGCCUCGCUACAGGUUUUGGAAGCUGCGUUUUAGUGCGGAGACAAACAGAUCAUUUGAUCGAUGGAAAUGUAGAUGGACCAAAGUAAUCAUCACAAUUUAUCCCUGUCUGCUACCAAUAAUGUAGAUAGUCAGGUAAUUUGCAUUCAGGCGUAUGCUUUUUGUGAAAUAUGAUCUUUAAUCAAGUACAUAUUCAAUCAUUAUGAUUAAGAAACCAUUCUAUUGAUCAUAUCUGAAAACUGUUCACUGUCAGUGUCGUUCAUUUAUUCUCUAACAACAUCUGCUUCUGCUGACCACUCUGUGACUGAUAGCUUUGUGGUGAUUUGUUAGCAACUUAGACAUGUAAUUCUUGCAGCUAGCUAGCAGAGCGCUGCCCCUUUGGUCAAAUGGAAACACCAGUAUGCUACAAGUUAGCGUUAACAGUCGAAUUAUCCAAGGUGUAGCCUUCAUGCUAAUAAGAUAGCUAUCAUUCUGUGCUCAAACUUUUUCUGUCUGCAUCUUAUUGGCAUGUUAUCUUAUAGUUGUGGAGAUAUCUCAGCUGAGACAGACUCAGUGGUGGACAGACUCAGUUAUUGACAGACUGAAUUCCUGAAAGCACCAUCCCAGGGGUCACACUGCUAGCGUAGCUUCAAAAAACAUGUUGCAGCAUUCUAACUUCGACACAGCUGUUUGAUAUUCGAGUGAAACACACAAAACUGACUGUUUACACCCAGCAUGAGGAGCAUAUAUAGGAAAAUGUCAGCAGCUGUUGUGUUUGAUUCCCUCAUAUUAUGACAUUUGUUAACUCCAAUCAGCCAUAAUUUAGCAUUUCAGUCCUAGCUUUGAUAGCAAAUAUAGGUAUCUUAAGUAUGUGUUUCUACAUGCUAACUAUAAAAUGGUUUAAAACAAUCUUGUAUCUCACUUUUCAGUGCGAAUCUUAAGUGUGAAUUAGCCAAAAUGCAGCUUUGUGCUCCAUGAUCUUGUUGAAUCAGGUGACUCAAACAAUGAAAGAUUUACUUCUUAUAAAAUUUUCAAGUAUUUAAACAACACUGAAAGCUUUUUCGUUAGCUGUUCAUUGACUUAAAUAUUAUUUGAACACUAGGAGCCACUCAAUCCAUGAUCACGAUUGAAAUGGCAAAAUAAGCGGAUUUUUAAGUCGAUUUUUAUAAAGCUCCAGUGAGUAGUUUUUGACGUUUAUAAAUAAUCUGAAAUUCAUAUUGGUGCCUUUUCAUGUUAUCUUAACAAAACAAGAUUAUCAGGGACGAGAUUGAUGAUUUUGAUGUUGUAAUCUGUAAUCACUGAAACUUGUUUUAGGGGAUAAGUGUCAGCGGUGCAGCUAAAGAAACAGUUUUCACAUUAAAUAUUUACAUUUAAUUAUAUGUUUGACAGUAAAAGCCUGCAGGAGGAGAUUUUUUUAACUCAUAUACACAACUUGACUCCAUCUAAGAAGCUAAAUUUUACUGAUUACAACACACAAAGUUCUUUUUUUUGGCUCAUAGUAUCUUGAAAUAAAAUUCGUAUACAUUAUAUUUAGACUUGUCUGGUAAAUAAACCGUUUUGGGGCUUAAGAGACAAAUAUACUCGCUAAGAUUUAAUUUCCCUGGUGUCACAUAAUAUCUUGGUUGUACGAUGCUAUCAUAACUUUUGCACUAAAAGGCUGCUGUUUUUAUUUCAGUCUAACCUCCUCAUGAACUCACUGCCCUAAAAGGAUCUAACAUUUUACUACAUUAGAAAAUAACAGGUGAGAAUAGCACAGUAUGGAUGUAUUCUUCAAAAGAUGAAGUUGCAUGAUUGAGCUACUCGAAUAAAAAGCACGGCCAGUUGAUGAAAACAGAAAUAAAAGACAUUUGUCUUCUAUCUGUCAACACUUUAUUGUGGAAGAGAAACAUUUCAGGUUCCUCCAGACAGAGUAAUGAAGGUGCUAUUCAUCAUCAGUCUCAGUUGUGACUCUGCUCACUAAUACAUGCCGGUGUGAUAGACUGAUUGGCAAACACAAAGGGCUAAUGGCAUACAUGCCAAUCUGCAGGCGCUCCUGGGCUGUGUGUCGGGAUUUGAUUGCAAGUUGUUGAAAAUGGGAAUGUAACAGCAGGUGGACAAUAGUGUGGCUGAUUUACAGCGCUCAUACCCAUGCGUGUGUCUGUGUGUGUUUCUGUGUGUGUGUGUGUUUAACUCUUGCAGUUCCACAGAACCUCUAACUGGUCCUGUAAAACCAGUCUCAUUUGUUAUUCGAUGAAUCCUGUGACGUCAUGCAUUCUUCGUCGGACACAUGCGAGGGCGUGUGAAAGAACUUGUCGUAAUGCCCAAAAACAGAAUUCUGAGAAACAUGCACACACACACACACGAAUGCACAUUCCUGCACAAACACCACUCUGUACAUCUAUCCUCAUUUACUUCUCCUGCCUCCCUCUCUCCCUCUCUCCCUCUCUCCCCAGUGCUAAUCCCUUUUUUCUCAGCAUUCUCUGUGGGCUGAUUUUCCACCCCCCUCCAUCUUUCUCCCUCUUUUCUCCCCAUUCUUCUCAUUUUUUAACUUUUCCCCUGUUUAUAUCCCCUGCCGUGUUCCCUUUUCUUUCCAAUCCCUCCCUGCCUGCCUCCUGUCUUUUCUCCUUCCACCUGCUCUCAUUUCUCUUCCUGGCUCAUUUUCUCCUCUCCCCCCGUCUCCCAGUGUAUCGCCGCACACUCUUGUAGUCAAUUAUCCCUUCUGUUAAUGAGCAGAUAAAUCUAAUUGCUCUCUCCUUCAGUGCCUGACGGCGUCUCUCUUCUCUGCUUUUUUCUACGCCUGCAGGACACGCAUCAUUCUCCCCACUAGUCAUUUUUCAACCCUUCCUCCAUGCUCUGGUAUUACCCCACUUUUUCAUCCACUUCCUGGUCCUUACACCCCAGGAUCCAAAUCUUGUCUCCCUUUUCGGUUUCGUCCCCCAUCUUUCAUGCCACCCUUGUUUAUUUAUCUCUACUGCCUUGACCUUUUCUUUCACUUCACCCUCUAAUUUUUCACCUCACCUGACUCUUCACCUUCACCUCCAUUCACUUUAUCGCUCCUCUUCUUCUCUCUGCUUCAGUGUGAUCUGUGGUUUAAGAAGGAUGAUGAGAGAGGCAGUGAAGGGCUGCUGGUCACAGGGAUUGAUAGUGGCAGAGGGCAGGGGCGGUUUAUCUUCUCCAGUCAUGGGGUCAGCUCUCCUCCAGAUAAUCUUUCUUCUAUUGGCCGAUUUUUACAGUUUUACCCAUUUCAUAGUCAUAGACUGGAGCAGAAAGUAAUCAGUAAGCCUGUAUGGCUUCUUUGAAAAGCAGCCACGGAGCAGAAUUUCAAACUUAGAUCAGGAACAGAGCGCUGAAAACCAGACUUUCUUUUCUCAUACAGUACGUACCCCCCAUUUUAGCUGCAUCAGUGACCUAUACGAUACUUGUUUGUUAAGUGAAAUAUUAGAGCAAUUUAAAGUUACCCAAAGGCCAA